UCCUACGGGAGGCAGCAGUGAGGAAUAUUGGUCAAUGGGCGCGAGCCUGAACCAGCCAAGUCGCGUGAGGGAAGACGGUCCUAUGGAUUGUAAACCUCUUUUGUCGGGGAGCAAAGCGAACCACGUGUGGUUCAUUGAGAGUACCCGAAGAAAAAGCAUCGGCUAACUCCGUGCCAGCAGCCGCGGUAAUACGGAGGAUGCGAGCGUUAUCCGGAUUUAUUGGGUUUAAAGGGUGCGUAGGCGGACAGUCAAGUCAGCGGUAAAAAUGCGGUGCUCAACGCCGUACAGCCGUUGAAACUGGCAGG
This 305-nucleotide ribosomal RNA is filed under the name uncultured bacterium. Its description in RNAcentral is "bacterial SSU rRNA". It matches the Rfam family "Bacterial small subunit ribosomal RNA", at positions 337 to 640 of the family's 1533-position model. The record is from RNAcentral.